Molecule: ribosomal RNA, 254 nt
Filed under: uncultured bacterium
Lineage: Bacteria
Description: partial 16S ribosomal RNA
Rfam family: Bacterial small subunit ribosomal RNA
Source: RNAcentral
UACGUAGGGUGCGAGCGUUGUCCGGAAUUAUUGGGCGUAAAGAGCUCGUAGGCGGUGUGUCGCGUCGGCCGUGAAAACCUGCAGCUUAACUGUGGGCGUGCGGUCGAUACGGGCAUCACUGGAGUUCGGCAGGGGAGACUGGAAUUCCUGGUGUAGCGGUGAAAUGCGCAGAUAUCAGGAGGAACACCGGUGGCGAAGGCGGGUCUCUGGGCCGAUACUGACGCUGAUGCACGAAGGCCAGGGGAGCAAACGGG